GAAAUGCGAUAAGUAAUGUGAAUUGCAGAAUUCAGUGAAUCAUCGAAUCUUUGAACGCACCUUGCGCUCCUUGGUAUUCCGAGGAGCAUGCCUGUUUGAGUGUCAUGAAAUCAUCAACUACGUUCAGCAUUAUUGAUGUUGAAAGUGAAGUUGGAGUUGGAGGAUAAUUGCUGGCGUGACCUUAAGUGGUUGCUUGUUGGCUCCUCUUGAAUGCAUGAGCUCUUCUAAUAGAUCAUGGCUUAGUGACACUAAUGUGAUAAUUAUCUAUGUUAGAUGUGAAAAGCUAUGAGUAGAGUGACUUUCAAUGUAUGAAGGGAGCUCCUAUGGAAGAGAAGAUUGUCUCGGAAAUUUUUUUGAGAUGAUAUUUGACACAUCUGACCUCAAAUCAGGUAGGACUACC
This 400-nucleotide unclassified non-coding RNA is filed under the name uncultured Pseudotomentella. RNAcentral's name for it is "sequence contains ITS1". The stretch from base 1 to 105 matches the Rfam family "5.8S ribosomal RNA", at positions 50 to 154 of the family's 154-position model. Lineage: Eukaryota; Fungi; Basidiomycota; Agaricomycetes; Thelephorales; Thelephoraceae. The record is from RNAcentral.